GUACACACCGCCCGUCGCUACUACCGAUUGAAUGGCUUAGUGAGACCUCCGGAUUGAUAACCAGCAUUUGGCAACAGAAGCCGGUUGUUGAGAAGUUGGUCAAACUUGGUCAUUUAGAGGAAGUAAAAGUCGUAACAAGGUAACCGUAGGUGAACCUGCGGUUGGAUCAUUA
Molecule: ribosomal RNA, 172 nt
Filed under: Clydaea vesicula
Lineage: Eukaryota; Fungi; Chytridiomycota; Chytridiomycetes; Lobulomycetales; Lobulomycetaceae
Description: partial 18S ribosomal RNA
Rfam family: Eukaryotic small subunit ribosomal RNA
Source: RNAcentral